Long non-coding RNA from Arabidopsis lyrata subsp. lyrata, 2262 nucleotides. RefSeq lists it as uncharacterized. NCBI's taxonomy places the organism in Eukaryota, Viridiplantae, Streptophyta, Magnoliopsida, Brassicales, Brassicaceae. The record is from RefSeq and is a predicted model, not a curated record. The transcript has 2 exons.
AAAAACUAAUUAGGGUUUCAUUUUAAUAACAAACGCCACCCACAUAUUUUUGUUGUCUAUAUAUACUUCUUAUCUCUUCGUAAAACAACAUACGACACACAUAACCUCAUCAUCUCUCUCACAUAUUCACAUCCUUGUCUUAUCUCUCUUAGUGUACGUCUCAAAAUAAGUACUAGUCUCUUCUCACUCUUUCUAAACUUUUCCAUUUCAUCAUCUAUCCAAGUCACGAAUGCAUCACUAUCAUCGUAUCCACAUAUAUUCGCUCGACCGGAUUCGGAUCAGUAAACUCCGAAAUGAUGUGUUGGUCAUGAAUUCAUGAUCCUAACGAGAUGUUUUGUCCAAACGAUGAUAUUAUUGUUACAUAAUACCUUUUUCUCUUCUUCCAUAUGCGAAAAGCUAUCAUAACCAACAUGGGAUCUCUUCCGCUCAUUCUAAUCGCAUUGCGCAAUCGAUAUCCAAGGUUUCUCUCUAUUUUUUUCAGUAUUUUUUCAAUAAAUUAUCAGAAACUUUUUGGAUCUACACCAUGUCCCUUUAAACUUAAAACUGAUGAUUGAAUUGGUGAUUGCAUUACAUUUUGAUUCUUAGAAAAUUUUAAACACGGACCAACUUAAACGCAUAAACACUAUUUGUAUGUAUCAUAAAAUAUGAAAACCUUGUAUAUCUCGAGGCAAACAAAAAUGUAAGACGAUCCAUGCUGUAAAAGACAACAAAAAAUUAAUGGACUUUAUAAACCUUUUUUUUAUGAUAUUUAUAAUUUAGGAUUUUUUUUUGGGGAUAUCCGGAUCUUAAAACACCUAGUAGAAUCCGGAUCCUCCAAUAUCAAUAUAAUUAUUUUGUGAUAUUUUUUUAUAAAAUUUAAUCCGAAUCGGAUAUAGGUAUUAUGAAAUUUAAGACACAAUACCUAGAUUCAGAUCUAGGAGCUCUAGAUACUCUAUUUUUUGGUUAGGUAUUUAUAUGGGUUUAUCUUAAAUUUCAACGGAAAGUUCUAUCUACAAAAAUGUUAAUUCAUCUUUAUGGUUAGGUAUUUAUAUGGGUUUAUCUUAAAUUUCGACCAUAGUAAAAAAUAGUCAUAAUGGUAUUUCGCACAAAAAAUUAUGAUUUUUGAAAUUUUUUGGAUCAACAUAUGUAAAGGUAGAUUGUGAAUGCAUUAUUAUAAUAGUUAAUUAAAAUCUUUUUUAAAAAGAACAAUCUCUUGCCUUAUUCACAUAGUUACAUGAUCUUGUUAUAUAUAUAAGUAUCAUACCUUACAUAUGUUGGUUUCAUUCAUGUAUUUGUUUCGAUUCCUGAUAAGGUAUUUUUGUUUUUUGGAUAUUUCAUUUAAGUUGAUAAGUUACACUAGAGUACUUUUGCAGUUUCUACGUUAGAUAAUAACUAAUUCUAUGGUUUUUAUAUCUCAAUAUGCUAAUGGAUAUUUAGUUGUAUGAAACAUGCAACAAUUUAUUCAUAGAUCCAAACAUCCAUAGGAUACAUAUAAUAACCGAGAAUUAUAUGAUAAGAAUAUUUAAAUGUAACCAUUUUGAAAUGAGAAAAUUACCUCAAGCUAUAGUACCUCUAUGAGAUCUAUUUGUAGGUUACAAAUUAAGAAAAAUAGAAAAGAAAUUUUGUAAACUACUCAAUUACAGAUGGCGAAUAUUCCAUUUUGAUCAUGAGCCAGCCUCUAGUUUUGGUUUAGCUCGGCUAACGGAGAGAUGUUCUCCGGUGCAAAAAGCAUGAAACAGGAAACAUCAAAUUCUUGUGGUCAUAUAAUAUAACCAACUCAUAUUUUAUGCUUAACUAUAUAAUGAGGUUAUAUUAUAUAACUAUAAUAAUUUGAUGUUCCCUCGUCUCAUAUUUUUUACGUUAAAGAACAUCUCUCUACUAGUUGAACUAAGCAUGGACGACUAUGGGUUGGCAGAUGAACUAAAUGGAAAAUUCGAGAUAUGUAACUAAGUAAUUAUGAAGUUUCCUUUUUAUCUUUUUUUGUAGCUUACAUUGAUAGCUCAUAGGUGCUAUAUGUUGAUGUAAUUUCUCAUCUCGAUAUUGUCACACUUUGACUUUCUUAUUAUUCAGAAAGUGAGUGAACGAGAAGAGCAGUCGAAGAUGGCUUCAUGUUCAUGUUAUCAUAUGAUCAUAUGAAAGUGCAGAUUGAUAUUAGCGAUGAAGAUGGCUAUACUCAGAUCUGAGAUAUCUUAGUUUUUUGAAUUAUAUAGUCUCUUGGUUUCUUGAAGUUGUAUAUUAUAAUUUUAUGACAUGUAAAGAUUAAAAGAAUACAUUUUUUACCAA